This is a long non-coding RNA of Oryza sativa Japonica Group (Japanese rice), 1196 nucleotides long. RefSeq lists it as uncharacterized. NCBI's taxonomy places the organism in Eukaryota, Viridiplantae, Streptophyta, Magnoliopsida, Poales, Poaceae. The record is from RefSeq and is a predicted model, not a curated record.
CCGCAGCCUCGCCCUCCUCCUUCACUCCCGUGCGUCGUCACUGCCGCAACUCCCUCCUCUUCCACUCCCUCAAGGCCUCAACCUACUCCAGCUAUCUCGCCGUACCGCCGUCGCCGCUUCCUCUCGCACGCGCGCCGCCAUGCCCUCUUCUCUUCAUUCCUCGCGCGCGCCGUCGCUGUCGUAGCUUCGUCGUCCUUCGCCUCCCUCGUGCCCUCAUCCAGCCAUUGUUACUGUGCCCGCGCUCCCGCGCCGGCAAGCGAGUCCGUCAUGUCCACCAGUGAGGAGGCGGGGCUUCCAGAUCCGGCAACAGCGGCCUCCUCGCUGGUGGAUUGUCGGUUGCCCGGACGAGAGGGAUGCGAGCCACUGCACUCCUCUUCUCCUCUUUCAUCUCAUCUCCACGUGGAUCCGGUCGUGGCCCUCUUCGGCAGUACAACGCUACUCUCCACUGUCUUCCUCACCCGUUCUCCAUGCCGCUCACCUCCCCUCGGUGCCAGGAUGGGGAGAGCAAGAGCAGCAGCUUGGGCACCAAAGCCACGACGGCGGAAGGCAUGGGCUAUGGCAAAGUACGGCGACGACGGCAGCAAGGCACAAACUAUGGCAAGGAAGGAAAGAAAAAAGGGAGUGAAGGCUAGAUUAUUCAGUACUAAUGUUUAAACAUCACCACCCAGGUGUGCAAAUGGGAAAUGAGCAGCGCUGUCAGAAAGAAAUAGAAGACACUAAACAUGGACUUGAAUCUGGAAGUAUUACAUAUGACCCGGCAAAGCUUAAAUUUUCUGAUGACAUCAAAGAUUCUCGGUGAACCUGACAAUCUUGACAUAUUAUUGCAUCCAGUGUUCCAAUUUGGCAAGUCCAAAAGUACCAUUUGUUUAUAUCUCCAUUUUUACUAGCUCACUUUCCUGAUAUAUGUAUGAUAGAUCAUUAGGUGGGCAGUUCUUCCUGCCUUCUUCACAUUGUAGUUCUCAGUGUAUUUUCUCUAUAUUCUUGAUCUAUACAUGGACUUGGAAUAAGGUGUUCACCCUGAAUAAGGAGGGAGGUCAGUACAUUUUUCCUACCUUAAAAAUCUGAAGUAUGGUUGAAUAUUGUAUUAGAUGAUAUUCAGAUAAUAUUGUUAGUUUAUAACAGGCCAGUUGGUUUAUACCUAAGCCACUUGGUCAAUGCAAAGCUAUAUAUUCUAUAAUUCCUUUAUUUCUUACCAA